ACGCUCGACACCUACGGGAGGCAGCAGUGAGGAAUAUUGGUCAAUGGGCGCUAGCCUGAACCAGCCAAGUAGCGUGAAGGAUGAAGGCUCUAUGGGUCGUAAACUUCUUUUAUAUAAGAAUAAAGUGCAGUAUGUAUACUGUUUUGUAUGUAUUAUAUGAAUAAGGAUCGGCUAACUCCGUGCCAGCAGCAGCGGUAAUCUGAGCGGGCUGGCAAGGC
RNAcentral lists this ribosomal RNA (218 nucleotides) under uncultured bacterium. RNAcentral's name for it is "partial 16S ribosomal RNA". It matches the Rfam family "Bacterial small subunit ribosomal RNA", at positions 328 to 539 of the family's 1533-position model. The record is from RNAcentral.